Long non-coding RNA from Carlito syrichta (Philippine tarsier), 430 nucleotides. RefSeq lists it as uncharacterized. The record is from RefSeq and is a predicted model, not a curated record. The transcript has 3 exons. Lineage: Eukaryota; Metazoa; Chordata; Mammalia; Primates; Tarsiidae.
AAUUGCACUCAAAGGAAGGACACGCCACCACAUGGGUUGCCACAUCCACACUCCCAGAGAAAGCUUCACAUGUGAGAUAAAUGCACUCAAAGAUUCCUCACAAGUAGCUCUUUGGAGCUUCAGAUGUGAAAUGGAUCAUUCCUCAAUCUGUAAUAGACCCUUCUGUGAAGCUCUUCAAUCAAACCAGAAAAUUCAAGAGGUUUCAGGUACGUAAAAGUGGUAUUUGGCUAGUGGUGGGCCAAAGAAAGGAAUAAAGAAGACAUUCAGAUUUCUUGGUAGAAGACAUUCAAAAGUUGAUUUGAUAGCAGAUACAAGGAGAAAAUAUGCCAAUAAGAAAAUGCAUUUUUCAAGAUGAAAUUCAGCAUUUGUUACUUAAUAGCAUUUAUCAUCUUCCAAUUUUUUUCAUAUGCAGCAAAUUAAUUUCAGAUCA